CUCCUCGCCGGCGAAGUUCAAUCUCGUCGCCGGCGUCCACGGAAUGGAUCGACGAUGAACCUCCGCUCCUCUUCUUGGUUUUAGUUCAUCUGAUUGUGCAUCCUCAGUGAAGGCUUUAAACCCUAGCCGAUGUUGUCUGGAUGGAGGCAGACUGGAGUUGUAGCGCGGACUGCUCGGCGCAGUGGUUCCGUCAGGCGGAGUAGGAUAUAGGAAUAAUGGAUUUACUUUUGGCAUGCCCGACAUCGAACUCUUCAUCAUGAGGCCUUUUUAAUUGUUGUUGCUGCCGAACUUUUACCACUGUGUGAAGUUGGUCGGCAAGACUGCGUUGGAUGUCGAGUUGUACAUCAUGUGAAUUGGUUUGGUGUGUCUUCUCAGGAGUUGAGUUGCACGCCGCGUCGUCAUUCCAGUUUA
This is a long non-coding RNA of Triticum dicoccoides, 411 nucleotides long. RefSeq lists it as uncharacterized. The transcript is spliced from 3 exons. The record is from RefSeq and is a predicted model, not a curated record. Lineage: Eukaryota; Viridiplantae; Streptophyta; Magnoliopsida; Poales; Poaceae.